RNAcentral lists this ribosomal RNA (494 nucleotides) under uncultured bacterium. RNAcentral describes it as "partial 16S ribosomal RNA". It matches the Rfam family "Bacterial small subunit ribosomal RNA", at positions 28 to 507 of the family's 1533-position model. The record is from RNAcentral.
GACGAACGCUGGCGGCGUGCUUAACACAUGCAAGUCGAACGGAAAGGCCUGCUUUCCCUUGUGGAUUGCGGGUACUCGAGUGGCGAACGGGUGAGUAACACGUGAGUGAUCUGCCCCCAACUUGGGUAUAAGCCUGGGAAACUGGGUCUAAUUCCCGAUAGGACUGCAGGGUGGUGCCUGUGGUGGAAAACGAUUUUCUAGUGGUUGGGGAUGAGCUCGCGGCCUAUCAGCUUGUUGGUGGGGUAAUGGCCUACCAAGGCGGCGACGGGUAGCCGGCCUGGGAGGGUGGACGGGCACAUUGGGACUGGGGUACGGCCCAGACUCCUACGGGAGGCAGGAGUGGGGAAUAUUGCACAAUGGGCGGGAGCCUGAUGCAGCGACGCCGCGUGGGGGAUGACGGCCUUCGGGUUGUAAACUCCUUUCGACCGCGAGGAAGCCACCUGGUUGGAAGGGUGGUGACGGUAGUGGUAGAAGAAGCACCGGCUAACUACGUG